AUGGACAGUUUUACCCUCGAUUUGAAAUUUGAGUCGUCUUCCUCCUCCAAAGCUCGCGUCGUCUUCUUCCUACAGGAGCUCGCCCGUCUUCCUUCUCCAGCGUGCCAUCUUCCUCCUGCAGGAGCUCGCGUCAUCCCCUUCGUCCAAGCGCUCGGGCCCCGCCUGCAGGUACUCGCCCCCUUCGUCCAGGCGCUCGGUCCCGAUCCUAGGUGCCCAGUUCGGCCUCCGCUGCGCCCGCUUGGUUGCUGCCGCGCCCGCCCAGCUUGGCCGCCGUUGUGCCCGCUUGGUAGCCGCCCCGCCCAGCUUGGUCGUCGCCGCCCCAGAUUGGUCCUCGCCGCGCACAGCCCACCUAGCUCGCCCCCGCCGCUGCAGCACGUUGCUUCCAGGCAGGUUCUCCUUCCCUCACCCCUUGCACAAUAG
RNAcentral lists this ribosomal RNA (420 nucleotides) under Triticum aestivum (bread wheat). Its description in RNAcentral is "partial small subunit ribosomal RNA". Lineage: Eukaryota; Viridiplantae; Streptophyta; Magnoliopsida; Poales; Poaceae. The record is from RNAcentral.